Molecule: ribosomal RNA, 479 nt
Filed under: Mycena monticola
Lineage: Eukaryota; Fungi; Basidiomycota; Agaricomycetes; Agaricales; Mycenaceae
Description: eukaryotic LSU rRNA
Rfam family: 5.8S ribosomal RNA (bases 93-246)
Source: RNAcentral
UUUCUUUCAAAUGGCUAUGUUUUCAUAUACACUAUAAAGUUACAGAAUGUCUUUUAAAGAUUGUCGCUCGCGCGCAGUCAUUAAACCUAUACAACUUUCAGCAACGGAUCUCUUGGCUCUCCCAUCGAUGAAGAACGCAGCGAAAUGCGAUAAGUAAUGUGAAUUGCAGAAUUCAGUGAAUCAUCGAAUCUUUGAACGCACCUUGCGCCCUUUGGUAUUCCGAAGGGCAUGCCUGUUUGAGUGUCAUUAAAUUAUCAACCUUGCUCGUUUUCGAGUAAGGCUUGGAUGUGAGGGCUUGCUGGCUUCCUUCAGUGGAUGGUCUGCUCCCUUUAAAUGCAUUAGUGGGAUCUCUUGUGGACCGUCACUUGGYGUGAUAAUUAUCUAUACCUCGUCGACUUUGAAGCAAAAUUAUGGGAACCUGCUUAUAACCGUCUCGCAAGGGACAAUAUCUCUGACAUUUUGACCUCAAAUCAGGUAGA